UCGAUCUUAUCUUCUCCAUCUCCUCAAAACAACUUUACGGCAACCAAACUGCUUCAAAGUUUACCACCCUUCAAAGUUCAGUUCAAGUCGAUCUUAUCUUCUCCAUCUCCUCAAAGUUCAGUUCAACAAAUAUCACCGCCCACCCUUCGGUUCUUCACCUAGGUCGUGCCGGAAACUAGAUUUGCAGUCCAGUUCAACAAAUAUCACCGCCCCCCCCCUUCAGAUGAAGACGAUGAGGUUUUGAGGGCCGGCGACCGGAGACGCCGCUCACGGCGGCGGUCUUUAUCUCCGACCGGAGACGCCGCUCACGGUAAACCCUCCUGUUUGUGAUCAAUCACCUGAUACAUCUUGCAAAGUCCCCCUCUGCAGGAAAUUUAAAACUAAAGGGCAGCAAGUGAAUAACAAAAAGAAAGAAGCAAGAUGGGAAUUUCUAGUUAGAAAAGUUGAAGCAGCUAAAGCUGUAUCGUUGGAUAUGUAAUUUUAUUAUGUAAUUUUAUUUUGGUUAUGCUCGUAGAUUUUAAACAUUUUUUCUUUUAG
This 537-nucleotide long non-coding RNA is filed under the name Helianthus annuus (common sunflower). RNAcentral's name for it is "hypothetical non coding rna". The record is from RNAcentral. Lineage: Eukaryota; Viridiplantae; Streptophyta; Magnoliopsida; Asterales; Asteraceae.